CGCACAUUGCGCCCUUUGGCAUUCCGAAGGGCAUGCCCGUUCGAGCGUCAUUUCACCAAUCAAGCCUGGCUUGGUGUUGGGCCCCGGGGAGACCCGGACCCCAAAGUUCGCCGGCCGGACGACCCGGACCUCAUCGUUGUGGCUUCAAAACCCGGUGAGAGGAAGGGGCGCCCGCGCCGUCACAACAAUCAUUUUGAAAGGUUGACCUCGGAUCGGGUAGGGAUACCCGCUGAACUUAA
Molecule: unclassified non-coding RNA, 239 nt
Filed under: Capnodiales sp.
Lineage: Eukaryota; Fungi; Ascomycota; Dothideomycetes; Capnodiales
Description: partial contains 5.8S ribosomal RNA, internal transcribed spacer 2, and large subunit ribosomal RNA
Source: RNAcentral